CCUACGGGGGGCUGCAGUGGGGAAUAUUGGACAAUGGGGGCAACCCUGAUCCAGCCAUGCCGCGUGUGUGAAGAAGGCCCUCGGGUUGUAAAGCACUUUCAGUGAGGAAGAACGCCUGGUGGUUAAUACCCAUCAGGAAAGACAUCACUCACAGAAGAAGCACCGGCUAACUCCGUGCCAGCAGCCGCGGUAAUACGGAGGGUGCGAGCGUUAAUCGGAAUUACUGGGCGUAAAGCGCGCGUAGGUGGCUUGAUAAGCCGGUUGUGAAAGCCCCGGGCUCAACCUGGGAACGGCAUCCGGAACUGUCAAGCUAGAGUGCAGGAGAGGAAGGUAGAAUUCCCGGUGUAGCGGUGAAAUGCGUAGAGAUCGGGAGGAAUACCAGUUGCGAAGGCGGCCUUUUGGACUGACACUGACACUGAGGUGCGAAAGCGUGGGUAUCAAACAGGAUUAGAUACCCUGGUAGUC
RNAcentral lists this ribosomal RNA (465 nucleotides) under Vreelandella stevensii. RNAcentral's name for it is "partial 16S ribosomal RNA". It matches the Rfam family "Bacterial small subunit ribosomal RNA", at positions 338 to 795 of the family's 1533-position model. Lineage: Bacteria; Pseudomonadati; Pseudomonadota; Gammaproteobacteria; Oceanospirillales; Halomonadaceae. The record is from RNAcentral.